This 325-nucleotide long non-coding RNA is filed under the name Oryza brachyantha (malo sina). RNAcentral's name for it is "long non-coding RNA (OBRA_LNC002114)". Lineage: Eukaryota; Viridiplantae; Streptophyta; Magnoliopsida; Poales; Poaceae. The record is from RNAcentral.
AACACAACAAAAGUAGCUAGCCUUGUUCUACUCCUUUUCUGCCACAAUUACACCUCUCAAGAAAAACAAAAAAGCUCCCAUAAUCACUUAAACAAGCUUAAGCCACUAAUCUCUCCUAAUUACCAAAAAGAAAAAAUACAUAAUUUUUAGCUUCUUUUCUUCCCCAUUUUUCUCACUGUCACAGAGCACCACUGCAGCACCAAACCAAGCAGCUCAUCUUCCAGUCUUCCACACUUCCUACUCUCUCUCUCCUCGCGCAGGAGCACGCUUAUCGGAAUCGGGGCGCGCGGCGGCGAGAUCCGGGCAGCCGAAGGCGGGGCGCCGG